GUACAGUGCCUGUAGUUAAUACAUACAACACUUAUACAGAAUUAUCACUGAAUCAACAGAUUACAAGUACCAAAAAGAAAAACCAUCAAUCCAAUUCUUGUCAAAGACAAGAAGGUCAAGAGUCGAAGAAAAUAAGUUGCCUCCAAGCUUAUGUACUGAACUAUCUAUAAAACAUAUGAAUGAGAAAAAGUUAUACGUUAAAUUCGAAGUGAAAACAAAAACAACAUGAGACAACCUUUCCCAAACUAUACAAAAGAAAACCUCUAAACUAGAAAGCUACAAACCCAUUCUACAAAGGAUAGGGAUAAUUAUGUUAUAUCCACAAAUAAAACAAAUAUAUUGAAAAUUUGAAGGGAUCCAAAAUGGCCCGGUUAACAUGGUGGGGAAUUCCGCAUGGCCGAUAAUCAUUAACCCCACUUAUCCAUUCCUUGACCAUUUUCUCCUCAUCUUUCAUCUUUCAUACAUCACAAAGCAAAAGGCAGAAACAAUCAAUGCCUGGUCUAUGAUCUACGGAUUCCACCCUAAUCAACUGUAUGACCAUAGUUGCUAACCAUCGAUAGAACUGUCAUGCCACUGCUCCGUUUCUGCAGGUGGGGGGUGCGCUUGACGAACAAAUUGUCCUUUGACUCUGGGCCUUUGCUCAGCAAGUUUUUUCCUACUCUCAUAGCGAACCUUCUUCUCAUAACAUCUAUCUUUCCGCUUCAUGCGAAACUUAGAUAGAGCUGCUUCUCUUUGGAUAGAUCGAUAUGAAUUUGCAUUCUGUAAAACACCUUCAUUUUUUCUCUCAGCAGUAGCCCUGAUCAUAGCAACCUGAUCAACAUUGCUAUUACUUCCAGAAGUGCUUCCAUAACCCAUGUUAAGAUGACUUGCAGCACCAUUACAGAAGCUGCUAGUUGCACUCUGAUCAGUGGCAGGAGAAAUGUGUCCUCGAUCCUCCAAAGAAUCCAACUUGUGGUCCUGUUUUUGCAGAGAUAGAUUGGUGGAAUCAUUUGGAGUUUGACCAAAUUGAUUGUGGAGUUCAGAAUUACUUUUGAAGCUGGACUGAUGAAAUGGAUUUACUUUAGGGCUGGGUUCCAGCUGGCUGCCUGAACUUGGACUCACUAUUGUUGAUGCACCAGAUUGUUUACAGAAAAUUGGAGGAAAUGUGGAACCAUAGCUGGUGCACAGAUUAUUAAAGCUUAUACCAUUAACUGGAAUUUGGAUUGGAAAUACUCUUUGUUGACCGCAAGAACUUGCAAUUUCAGACUCUUUGGUUUGACCAGUAGCCAGAGAAGCGUUAUUUCUUUCAGUAGCUGGACCAGGAGUAUCAGAGUUAUAGUCACUAACAUUGCUGGAUAGUUUUCUCUCAGAAUUAGCUCCAAGUUCUUUCUGAUUAGAAACACUUCCCAACAUUGAAUGUACGUUUUGUAAUGGCCUGUUAGUAUACCGCGUAAAAGCUGAAGCAUUAGAAUGCCUGAGAGUAUGUCUUUCUUCAGUAACUUGAAUCUCAAAGCUACUAGGAUGGCAUCUUGUCAAGCACAGAUCCAAAUGUGGAGAACAAUCAAACUUGCUUUUAGCAUUAUCUAAAGAAGAAUUGUAACCAGCAGAUGUUCCCAUGAAAUCUAUAGCUUCUCUAGACGAGAUGACAAGGACAUGAUUGUUGUCACGGGCCUCACGGGUGACACUAGAAUUCAUUCUUUGACUUUCUGGUUCAACACUCUCAUUGACGGUCAUUCGAUUGGAAUGUUUGCAAGCAACCACAGCUGAUCCCCCAGGUUCACUCUCAUGCAAAAGCAAUAUCUGACUGCAAUCCCUGUGUGCUUCAUGUUUCUGCAUUGGUAUGUCUUUAAGAAAAACUUUGCCCGAUACUGGUUGCAAAAUGUCCCUCGUAUUUUCCAUAGGAGCACUCUCAGCUUCCACAUCUGGCUUUGUGCAAGAGCUCUGAGCAUCACUCCCUUUCUCAAUGAAUUCUUUAUCAUGUUGAAUACAAGCCAUGUCACCACUUGAAUGAUUACUGGCAGCAUUAUUUUCAGAAGUAGCCUCAACCUUAUCUUGCCCAACACUUUCAUCCUGGAGGCCAUUUCCUCCAGCAAGAGAAGAUUGUCUUCUCCAUACAUGCUGCCACAAAUUUCUCAGUUCAUUUAUUCUGAUAGGCUUAACAAGAUAAUCAGAAGCACCUCUCAACAUGCAUUUAUAAACCGUACUAAUUGAAUCCUGUGAGGACAUCAUUAUAACUGGUAUACUUUUGCAAUUCUCAUGCUCCAUAAUUAGAGUAAGAAGGGCAUAUCCUGAUAUUGAAGGUAAAUCCACUUCUGUCAAAAUGAGGUCUAUAUUAUGGGGUCUUCCUUUCAGCAUCUCCCACGCCUUUAAGCCAUCGGGAACAGCCACAACUUUGUAGCUACAUUUCCUAAGUAAAGCAGCUAUAAUCUGCCUAGUAGAAUCAUCAGCUUCAACCAACAAUACUCUCAACACCAUCUUCGGCAACAACUUCUCCCAUCUCACAAACAACCCAUUACCUUCCUUCAUCUCCGACUCGUCUAGUUGCUCUUCGUCAAUUUUCACUUCCUCCUCCUCCCUCUUUCUCAUGCUCUCAGCCUUGAGUUCCAAAUCUUCACCACUAAUCACCACCUCUCCCAUAAUCUCUUCUAA
RNAcentral lists this unclassified non-coding RNA (2628 nucleotides) under Hevea brasiliensis (rubber tree). Lineage: Eukaryota; Viridiplantae; Streptophyta; Magnoliopsida; Malpighiales; Euphorbiaceae. The record is from RNAcentral.